Molecule: transfer RNA, 67 nt
Filed under: Campylorhynchus brunneicapillus
Lineage: Eukaryota; Metazoa; Chordata; Aves; Passeriformes; Certhiidae
Description: tRNA-Lys
Rfam family: tRNA
About the family: Transfer RNA (tRNA) molecules are approximately 80 nucleotides in length. Their secondary structure includes four short double-helical elements and three loops (D, anti-codon, and T loops).
Source: RNAcentral
CGCUAAGAAGCUAUGAAACAGCACUAGCCUUUUAAGCUAGAGACAGAGGACACACCCUCCUUAGCGA